UCCUCCAAACAGACAAUCGCUGUAUUUCUUUCGAGAAAUCACAGAGGAAAGUCCGAACACGUGCAAGGAGAAAUCUUUGCAGAAUUGUAGUGGGUAAUCCCCAUCCAUGGCGACAUGGAGAUGCGAACAGUGACGUGUGUUUUUGAAAAUUAACACAGACCUACACAAGGUUAAUCUUAUUAAAAGUGUUGUAAAAAAUAUUAAGAAUGAAACGGCUAAAUUCUUACAGACGUGCAAGGCCGUGUGCGCAAUUUGCGUAAGUGCCGCUCGAGGUGAGGAGUAAUUUUCAUCCCAGAUAAAUGGUUGUCAUCAAAAUUUAUUUUGAUACAGAAUUCGGCUUAUCGUUAGGAGGAUAUU
RNAcentral lists this RNase P RNA (357 nucleotides) under Arenimonas sp. Its description in RNAcentral is "RNase P RNA component class A". It matches the Rfam family "Bacterial RNase P class A". Rfam says of the family: Ribonuclease P (RNase P) is a ubiquitous endoribonuclease, found in archaea, bacteria and eukarya as well as chloroplasts and mitochondria. Its best characterised activity is the generation of mature 5'-ends of tRNAs by cleaving the 5'-leader elements of precursor-tRNAs. Cellular RNase Ps are ribonucleoproteins. The record is from RNAcentral. RNAcentral also lists the same sequence under 1 other name. Lineage: Bacteria; Pseudomonadati; Pseudomonadota; Gammaproteobacteria; Lysobacterales; Lysobacteraceae.